UAACCUGCCCAAGAGACUGGGAUAACACCUGGAAACAGAUGCUAAUACCGGAUAACAACACUAGACGCAUGUCUAGAGUUUAAAAGAUGGUUCUGCUAUCACUCUUGGAUGGACCUGCGGUGCAUUAGCUAGUUGGUAAGGUAACGGCUUACCAAGGCAAUGAUGCAUAGCCGAGUUGAGAGACUGAUCGGCCACAUUGGGACUGAGACACGGCCCAAACUCCUACGGGAGGCAGCAGUG
RNAcentral lists this ribosomal RNA (240 nucleotides) under uncultured bacterium. RNAcentral's name for it is "partial 16S ribosomal RNA". It matches the Rfam family "Bacterial small subunit ribosomal RNA", at positions 122 to 356 of the family's 1533-position model. The record is from RNAcentral.